This 301-nucleotide ribosomal RNA is filed under the name uncultured bacterium. Its description in RNAcentral is "partial 16S ribosomal RNA". It matches the Rfam family "Bacterial small subunit ribosomal RNA", at positions 509 to 807 of the family's 1533-position model. The record is from RNAcentral.
CAGUCGCCACGGUAAUACGAAGGGUGCAAGCGUUACUCGGAAUCACUGGGCGUAAAGCGUGCGUAGGUGGUGGUUUAAGUCCGUUGUGAAAGCCCUGGGCUCAACCUGGGAAUUGCAGUGGAUACUGGGUCACUAGAGUGUGGUAGAGGAUAGUGGAAUUUCCGGUGUAGCAGUGAAAUGCGUAGAGAUCGGAAGGAACAUCUGUGGCGAAGGCGACUAUCUGGGCCAACACUGACACUGAGGCACGAAAGCGUGGGGAGCAAACAGGAUUAGAGACCCGAGUAGUCCCUGUCUCUUAUAC